RNAcentral lists this ribosomal RNA (402 nucleotides) under uncultured bacterium. RNAcentral's name for it is "partial 16S ribosomal RNA". It matches the Rfam family "Bacterial small subunit ribosomal RNA", at positions 29 to 525 of the family's 1533-position model. The record is from RNAcentral.
AUUGAACGCUGGCGGCAGGCCUAACACAUGCAAGUCGAGCGAGCGGCGGACGGGUGAGUAAUGUAUGGGGUCUGCCCGAUAGAGGGGGAUAACUGCAGGAAACGGUAGCUAAUACCGCAUACUAUCGGAUAACCCAUAUGGGAUUAGCUAGUAGGUGAGGUAAUGGCUCACCUAGGCGACGAUCCCUAGCGGGCCUGAGAGGAUGAUCAGCCGCACUGGGACGGAAACACGGCCCAGACUCCUACGGAGGGAGCAGUGGGGAAUAUUGCACAGUGGGCGGAAGCCUGAUACAGCCAUGCCGGAGGUAUGAAGAGGGCUCUAGGGUUGUAAAGUACUUUCAGUGGAGAGGCGUAACCGCCAGAAAAAGCACCGGCUAACACCGUGCCAGAAGCCGCGGUAAUC